CAAUAGCGUAUAUUUAAGUUGUUGCAGUUAAAAAGCUCGUAGUUGGAUUUCGGAUGGGACUUGCCGGUCCGUCGUUUCGAUGUGCACUGGCCAGUCCUAUCUUGUUGUCGGGGACUAGCUCCUGGGCUUCACUGUCCGGGACUAGGAGCUGACGAGGUUACUUUGAGUAAAUUAGAGUGUUCAAAGCAAGCCUACGCUCUGAAUACAUUAGCAUGGAAUAACACGAUAGGACUCUGGCUUCUCUUGUUGGUCUGUGAGACCAGAGUAAUGAUUAAGAGGGACAGUCGGGGGCAUUCGUAUUUCAUUGUCAGAGGUGAAAUUCUUGGAUUUAUGAAAGACGAACUUCUGCGAAAGCAUUUGUCAAGGAUGUUUUCAUUAA
Molecule: ribosomal RNA, 379 nt
Filed under: uncultured eukaryote
Lineage: Eukaryota
Description: partial 18S ribosomal RNA
Rfam family: Eukaryotic small subunit ribosomal RNA
Source: RNAcentral